UAAGAAGCAUGUGUGUCUCACCUGAGCC
This 28-nucleotide non-coding RNA is filed under the name Mus musculus (house mouse). Lineage: Eukaryota; Metazoa; Chordata; Mammalia; Rodentia; Muridae. The record is from RNAcentral.